Homo sapiens (human) is the source of this 499-nucleotide long non-coding RNA. Ensembl annotates it as GRIK1 antisense RNA 1. Its record names the gene GRIK1-AS1. The record is from Ensembl. Lineage: Eukaryota; Metazoa; Chordata; Mammalia; Primates; Hominidae.
CUCAACAUAUAAGCCAAGAGAGUGCCAGGCCUUUAAAUAAGAAACACUGGAUGUUUUCUGCAACUUAAAUACAAGGUAUCAGAGCCAGGAGGGUGGCUGACUCUGAUGAUAGAACAAGAGCCAAAUAUGCUCCUGAUGCUCCAGUAGAGUGGUCUUCAGGUGAUCGAGAUUCCGAGCUCCCAAACCAAGGCAAGAAUAAGGAAACUGGAACAGGAGGGCAUGCUGGGCUCCAGCCUCCCGUGACAGUGAAACAUUGCCUUAGAAUGACUGUUGUUAAUACAAUUGAGGAAAUAUAACACGUAAUCUUGUGAUUAAGUUAUACACAAUUUGAUUUAAAUUUAGUUCCUGGCAGUUGCUAGGUUUCACUCUGGCAUACUCUCUCAGUGUGGAAGCUGCUGAUUCAGAAAGAGAUGUUCCAAAGCUCAUGUAUUUCCUGGACACAUCCAAGUACUGAAUAAAAUGCUGGUUAAAUAAAUGAGUUAAUUUUCCAAGAAAGACA